Molecule: ribosomal RNA, 112 nt
Filed under: Actinomycetota bacterium
Lineage: Bacteria; Bacillati; Actinomycetota
Description: partial 16S ribosomal RNA
Rfam family: Bacterial small subunit ribosomal RNA
Source: RNAcentral
GCCAACCCGCCUCGCGAGAGGGGGGCGGCAGCCGUCGAGGGCGGGGCUGGUGAUUGGGACGAAGUCGUAACAAGGUAGCCGUAGUGGAAACUGCGGCUGGAUCACCUCCUUU